RNAcentral lists this ribosomal RNA (346 nucleotides) under uncultured bacterium. RNAcentral's name for it is "partial 16S ribosomal RNA". It matches the Rfam family "Bacterial small subunit ribosomal RNA", at positions 338 to 681 of the family's 1533-position model. The record is from RNAcentral.
CCUACGGGAGGCAGCAGUGAGGAAUAUUGGUCAAUGGGCGCGAGCCUGAACCAGCCAAGUCGCGUGAGGGAGGACGGCCCUACGGGUUGUAAACCUCUUUUGCCGGGGAGCAACGGGCGGCACGUGUGGCGCCACGGAGAGUACCCGGAGAAAAAGCAGCGGCUAACUCCGUGCCAGCAGCCGCGGUAAUACGGAGGAUGCUAGCGUGAGCCGGAUUGAUUGGGUUGAAAGGGUGCGUAGGCGGAUCGUUAAGUCAGUGGUCAAAUUGAGGGGCUCACCCCCUUCCCGCCAUUGAAACUGGCGCUCUUGAGUGGGCGAGAAGUAUGCGGAAUGUGUGGUGUAGCGG